CAGUCGAACGGGCUUAACAUGAAACCUAGUGAUUGUUAAGUCAGUGGCGGACGGGUGAGUAACGCGUGGAUAACCUGCCGUAUGCAGGGGGAUAACAGUUGGAAACAGCUGCUAAUACCGCAUAAGCGCACAGUACCGCAUGGUACGGUGUGAAAAGAUUUAUCGGCAUACGAUGGAUCCGCGUCCGAUUAGCCAGUUGGCGGGGUAACGGCCCACCAAAGCGACGAUCGGUAGCCGGCCUGAGAGGGCGGACGGCCACAUUGGGACUGAGACACGGCCCAAACUCCUACGGGAGGCAGCAGUGGGGAAUAUUGCACAAUGGGGGAAACCCUGAUGCAGCGACGCCGCGUGAGUGAAGAAGUAUCUCGGUAUGUAAAGCUCUAUCAGCAGGGAAGAAAAUGACGGUACCUGACUAAGAAGCCCCGGCUAACUACGUGCCAGCAGCCGCGGUAAUACGUAGGGGGCAAGCGUUAUCCGGAUUUACUGGGUGUAAAGGGAGCGUAGACGGCGCUGCAAGUCCGGAGUGAAAGCCCAUGGCUUAACCAUGGUACUGCUCUGGAAACUGUGGAGCUUGAGUGCGGGAGGGGCAGGCGGAAUUCCUAGUGUAGCGGUGGAAUGCGUAGAUAUUAGGAAGAACACCGGUGGCGAAGGCGGCCUGCUGGACUGCAACUGACGUUGAGGCCCGAAAGCGUGGGGAGCAAACAGGAUUAGAUACCCUGGUAGUCCACGCCGUAAACGAUGAUUACUAGGUGUCGGGGAGCAGAGACUGCCCGGUGCCGCAGCCAACGCAUUAAGUAAUCCACCUGGGGAGUACGUUCGCAAGAAUGAAACUCAAAGGAAUUGACGGGGACC
RNAcentral lists this ribosomal RNA (852 nucleotides) under uncultured bacterium. RNAcentral describes it as "bacterial SSU rRNA". It matches the Rfam family "Bacterial small subunit ribosomal RNA", at positions 59 to 921 of the family's 1533-position model. The record is from RNAcentral.